Molecule: ribosomal RNA, 732 nt
Filed under: uncultured archaeon
Lineage: Archaea
Description: bacterial SSU rRNA
Rfam family: Archaeal small subunit ribosomal RNA
Source: RNAcentral
ACCCCGGGAAACUGGGGAUAAUUCCGGAUAACGCACAUAUGCUGGAAUGCUUUUUGCGUAAAAUGGAUUCGUCUGCCCAAGGAUGGGUCUGCGGCCUAUCAGGUAGUAGUGGGUGUAAUGUACCUACUAGCCUACGACGGGUACGGGUUGUGAGAGCAAGAGCCCGGAGAUGGAUUCUGAGACAUGAAUCCAGGCCCUACGGGGCGCAGCAGGCGCGAAAACUUUACAAUGCGGGAAACCGUGAUAAGGGGACACCGAGUGCCAGCAUCCUAUGCUGGCUGUCCGGGUGUGUAAAAUACACCUGUUAGCAAGGGCCGGGCAAGACCGGGGCCAGCCGCCGCGGUAACACCGGCGGCCCGAGUGGUGAUCGUGAUUAUUGGGUCUAAAGGGUCCGUAGCCGGUUUGGUCAGUCCUCCGGGAAAUCUGACAGCUCAACUGUUAGGCUAUCGGAGGAUACUGCCAGACUUGGAACCGGGAGAGGUAAGAGGUACUACAGGGGUAGGAGUGAAAUCUUGUAAUCCCUGUGGGACCACCUGUGGCGAAGGCGUCUUACCAGAACGGGUUCGACGGUGAGGGACGAAAGCUGGGGGCACGAACCGGAUUAGAUACCCGGGUAGUCCCAGCCGUAAACGAUGCUCGCUAGGUGUCAGGCAUGGCGCGACCGUGUCUGGUGCCGCAGGGAAGCCGUGAAGCGAGCCACCUGGGAAGUACGGCCGCAAGGCUGAAACUUAA